This 514-nucleotide ribosomal RNA is filed under the name uncultured bacterium. RNAcentral's name for it is "partial 16S ribosomal RNA". It matches the Rfam family "Bacterial small subunit ribosomal RNA", at positions 28 to 523 of the family's 1533-position model. The record is from RNAcentral.
GAUAAACGCUGGCGGCGUGCCUAAUACAUGCAAGUCGAGCGAACAGAUGAGAAGCUUGCUUCUCUGAUGUUAGCGGCGGACGGGUGAGUAACACGUGGGUAACCUACCUAUAAGACUGGGAUAACUCCGGGAAACCGGGGCUAAUACCGGAUAAUAUUUUGAACCGCAUGGUUCGAUAGUGAAAGACGGUUUCGGCUGUCACUUAUAGAUGGACCCGCGCCGUAUUAGCUAGUUGGUAAGGUAACGGCUUACCAAGGCGACGAUACGUAGCCGACCUGAGAGGGUGAUCGGCCACACUGGAACUGAGACACGGUCCAGACUCCUACGGGAGGCAGCAGUAGGGAAUCUUCCGCAAUGGGCGAAAGCCUGACGGAGCAACGCCGCGUGAGUGAUGAAGGUCUUCGGAUCGUAAAACUCUGUUGUUAGGGAAGAACAAAUUUGUUAGUAACUGAACAAGUCUUGACGGUACCUAACCAGAAAGCCACGGCUAACUACGUGCCAGCAGCCGCGGUAA